GGGUGAUUAGCUCAGCUGGGAGAGAACCUCCCUUACAAGGAGGGGGUCGGCGGUUCGAUCCCGUCAUCACCCACCA
This 76-nucleotide transfer RNA is filed under the name Escherichia coli. RNAcentral describes it as "tRNA-Val". It matches the Rfam family "tRNA". From Rfam's summary of the family: Transfer RNA (tRNA) molecules are approximately 80 nucleotides in length. Their secondary structure includes four short double-helical elements and three loops (D, anti-codon, and T loops). RNAcentral also lists the same sequence under 3 other names. Lineage: Bacteria; Pseudomonadati; Pseudomonadota; Gammaproteobacteria; Enterobacterales; Enterobacteriaceae. The record is from RNAcentral.